ACUCUAAGCGGUGGAUCACUCGGCUCAUGGGUCGAUGAAGAACGCAGCAAACUGUGCGUCAUCGUGUGAACUGCAGGACACAUGAACAUCGACAUUUUGAACGCAUAUCGCAGUCCAUGCUGUUAUGUACUUUAAUUAAUUUUAUAGUGCUGCUUGGACUACAUAUGGUUGAGGGUUGUAAGACUAUGCUAAUUAAGUUGCUUAUAAAUUUUUAUAAGCAUAUGGUAUAUUAUUGGAUAAAUAUAAUAAUUUUUAUUCAUAAUAUUAAAAAAUAAAUGAAAAACAUUAUCUCACAUUUGAAUGUGAAAAACGAAGAGAAAUAUUUUCUUUUUCAAUCAAAUAAUACUGAGAAAUGUCUAGCAUAAAAAAUUGAAAUAUUUUUCAUCUAGAAUUGUCUCUUAUUAAUGAUUCGGAAAUAGAAAAAUCUUGGUUAUGUUAUUAUUCUUCGUUGGUUCGUUAAAAAUGGAUAAAUAAAAACUUUGCAUACAAGAAUUAAUAAAAAUGUUAUAACGAAUUUAAUUAAAUGUUUUAUCAUUAUAUAUAAAGAAUUUAUGGCAAGAUAAAGUUAUAUACAACCUCAACUCAUAUGGGACUACCCCCUGAAUUUAAGCAUAUUAAUUAGGGGAGGAAAAGAAACUAACAAGGAUUUUCUUAGUAGCGGCGAGCGAAAAGAAAACAGUUCAGCACUAAGUCACUUUGUCUAUAUGGCAAAUGUGAGAUGCAGUGUAUGGAGCGUCAAUAUUCUAGUAUGAGAAAUUAACGAUUUAAGUCCUUCUUAAAUGAGGCCAUUUACCCAUAGAGGGUGCCAGGCCCGUAUAACGUUAAUGAUUACUAGAUGAUGUUUCCAAAGAGUCGUGUUGCUUGAUAGUGCAGCACUAAGUGGGUGGUAAACUCCAUCUAAAACUAAAUAUAACCAUGAGACCGAUAGUAAACAAGUACCGUGAGGGAAAGUUGAAAAGAACUCUGAAUAGAGAGUUAAACAGUACGUGAAACUGCUUAGAGGUUAAGCCCGAUGAACCUGAAUAUCCGUUAUGGAAAAUUCAUCAUUAAAAUUGUAAUAUUUAAAUAAUAUUAUGAGAAUAGUGUGCAUUUUUUCCAUAUAAGGACAUUGUAAUCUAUUAGCAUAUACCAAAUUUAUCAUAAAAUAUAACUUAUAGUUUAUUCCAAUUAAAUUGCUUGCAUUUUAACACAGAAUAAAUGUUAUUAAUUUGAUAAAGUGCUGAUAGAUUUAUAUGAUUACAGUGCGUUAAUUUUUCGGAAUUAUAUAAUGGCAUAAUUAUCAUUGAUUUUUGUGUUUAUUAUAUGCACUUGUAUGAUUAACAAUGCGAAAGAUUCAGGAUACCUUCGGGACCCGUCUUGAAACACGGACCAAGGAGUCUAACAUAUGUGCAAGUUAUUGGGAUAUAAACCUAAUAGCGUAAUUAACUUGACUAAUAAUGGGAUUAGUUUUUUAGCUAUUUAUAGCUAAUUAACACAAUCCCGGGGCGUUCUAUAUAGUUAUGUAUAAUGUAUAUUUAUAUUAUUUAUGCCUCUAACUGGAACGUACCUUGAGCAUAUAUGCUGUGACCCGAAAGAUGGUGAACUAUACUUGAUCAGGUUGAAGUCAGGGGAAACCCUGAUGGAAGACCGAAACAGUUCUGACGUGCAAAUCGAUUGUCAGAAUUGAGUAUAGGGGCGAAAGACCAAUCGAACCAUCUAGUAGCUGGUUCCUUCCGAAGUUUCCCUCAGGAUAGCUGGUGCAUUUUAAUAUUAUAUAAAAUAAUCUUAUCUGGUAAAGCGAAUGAUUAGAGGCCUUAGGGUCGAAACGAUCUUAACCUAUUCUCAAACUUUAAAUGGGUAAGAACCUUAACUUUCUUGAUAUGAAGUUCAAGGUUAUGAUAUAAUGUGCCCAGUGGGCCACUUUUGGUAAGCAGAACUGGCGCUGUGGGAUGAACCAAACGUAAUGUUACGGUGCCCAAAUUAACAACUCAUGCAGAUACCAUGAAAGGCGUUGGUUGCUUAAAACAGCAGGACGGUGAUCAUGGAAGUCGAAAUCCGCUAAGGAGUGUGUAACAACUCACCUGCCGAAGCAACUAGCCCUUAAAAUGGAUGGCGCUUAAGUUGUAUACCUAUACAUUACCGCUAAAGUAGAUGAUUUAUAUUACUUGUGAUAUAAAUUUUGAAACUUUAGUGAGUAGGAAGGUACAAUGGUAUGCGUAGAAGUGUUUGGCGUAAGCCUGCAUGGAGCUGCCAUUGGUACAGAUCUUGGUGGUAGUAGCAAAUAAUCGAAUGAGACCUUGGAGGACUGAAGUGGAGAAGGGUUUCGUGUGAACAGUGGUUGAUCACGAGUUAGUCGGUCCUAAGUUCAAGGCGAAAGCCGAAAAUUUUCAAGUAAAACAAAAAUGCCUAACUAUAUAAACAAAGCGAAUUAUAAUACACUUGAAUAAUUUUGAACGAAAGGGAAUACGGUUCCAAUUCCGUAACCUGUUGAGUAUCCGUUUGUUAUUAAAUAUGGGCCUCGUGCUCAUCCUGGCAACAGGAACGACCAUAAAGAAGCCGUCGAGAGAUAUCGGAAGAGUUUUCUUUUCUGUUUUAUAGCCGUACUACCAUGGAAGUCUUUCGCAGAGAGAUAUGGUAGAUGGGCUAGAAGAGCAUGACAUAUACUGUUGUGUCGAUAUUUUCUCCUCGGACCUUGAAAAUUUAUGGUGGGGACACGCAAACUUCUCAACAGGCCGUACCAAUAUCCGCAGCUGGUCUCCAAGGUGAAGAGUCUCUAGUCGAUAGAAUAAUGUAGGUAAGGGAAGUCGGCAAAUUAGAUCCGUAACUUCGGGAUAAGGAUUGGCUCUGAAGAUUGAGAUAGUCGGGCUUGAUUGGGAAACAAUAACAUGGUUUAUGUGCUCGUUCUGGGUAAAUAGAGUUUCUAGCAUUUAUGUUAGUUACUUGUUCCCCGGAUAGUUUAGUUACGUAGCCAAUUGUGGAACUUUCUUGCUAAAAUUUUUAAGAAUACUAUUUGGGUUAAACCAAUUAGUUCUUAUUAAUUAUAACGAUUAUCAAUUAACAAUCAAUUCAGAACUGGCACGGACUUGGGGAAUCCGACUGUCUAAUUAAAACAAAGCAUUGUGAUGGCCCUAGCGGGUGUUGACACAAUGUGAUUUCUGCCCAGUGCUCUGAAUGUCAAAGUGAAGAAAUUCAAGUAAGCGCGGGUCAACGGCGGGAGUAACUAUGACUCUCUUAAGGUAGCCAAAUGCCUCGUCAUCUAAUUAGUGACGCGCAUGAAUGGAUUAACGAGAUUCCUACUGUCCCUAUCUACUAUCUAGCGAAACCACAGCCAAGGGAACGGGCUUGGAAUAAUUAGCGGGGAAAGAAGACCCUUUUGAGCUUGACUCUAAUCUGGC
Molecule: ribosomal RNA, 3374 nt
Filed under: Drosophila melanogaster (fruit fly)
Lineage: Eukaryota; Metazoa; Arthropoda; Insecta; Diptera; Drosophilidae
Description: eukaryotic LSU rRNA
Rfam family: Eukaryotic large subunit ribosomal RNA (bases 573-3374)
Source: RNAcentral